Molecule: ribosomal RNA, 425 nt
Filed under: uncultured bacterium
Lineage: Bacteria
Description: bacterial SSU rRNA
Rfam family: Bacterial small subunit ribosomal RNA
Source: RNAcentral
GUGGGGAAUAUUGCACAAUGGGGGAAACCCUGAUGCAGCGACGCCGCGUGAGCGAAGAAGUAUUUCGGUAUGUAAAGCUCUAUCAGCAGGGAAGAAAAUGACGGUACCUGACUAAGAAGCACCGGCUAAAUACGUGCCAGCAGCCGCGGUAAUACGUAUGGUGCAAGCGUUAUCCGGAUUUACUGGGUGUAAAGGGAGCGUAGACGGAUGGGCAAGUCUGAUGUGAAAACCCGGGGCUCAACCCCGGGACUGCAUUGGAAACUGUUCAUCUAGAGUGCUGGAGAGGUAAGUGGAAUUCCUAGUGUAGCGGUGAAAUGCGUAGAUAUUAGGAGGAACACCAGUGGCGAAGGCGGCUUACUGGACAGUAACUGACGUUGAGGCUCGAAAGCGUGGGGAGCAAACAGGAUUAGAAACCCCUGUAGUCC